RNAcentral lists this long non-coding RNA (346 nucleotides) under Helianthus annuus (common sunflower). RNAcentral describes it as "sRNA HanXRQr2_Chr04g0184311". The record is from RNAcentral. Lineage: Eukaryota; Viridiplantae; Streptophyta; Magnoliopsida; Asterales; Asteraceae.
UUGAUCCCACUUCUUAACUGGCUGCUUUAUCAAGUCCACCUUUCUAAUGCCAAGAAAUCAUCUGCCACAACUGAAAUCAAACACAAGUUGGAUAAUGACAGCGGCAAGGACAUUUUUAAGUUGGGGAGAAAAGAUCUUCUUCCGAAAGUGAAGGGAACCAAAACAAAACAAUAAUUGGUUAUAUUGACCGAUGAGAGCGUGAAAAGAGAGACCGGAUUGAUGCAAACGUUGUCGUAUUGUUGCAGAGUACACCACUAUAGUGUUGCUAACAAUGGCAAACUUCAGGGGUUUAAUUUUGAUUAUUAAGACUGGGAGAUGAAGGUGAUUAUGCAUAUACCAUUACUGU